AGCGUAGACAUGGCCGGCUCGGGUCAAAGUGUAGUAAGCGUUCUUAUCUGCUUAAUAUGUGAUAGGGGUUUUAUUUGUACGUAACAUAUUGAAAUUAUUUUUGCAAGUUGGCGGAGUGCUUAAAGCCUAAUUCACCUCCGCGACGGGUCGGCCCGAUAUUUCUCAAUUUUCGGGAUCGGCCCACGUAUG
Dermacentor andersoni is the source of this 189-nucleotide small nuclear RNA. RefSeq annotates it as U2 spliceosomal RNA. NCBI's taxonomy places the organism in Eukaryota, Metazoa, Arthropoda, Arachnida, Ixodida, Ixodidae. The record is from RefSeq and is a predicted model, not a curated record.